GGGAAAGCUCUGCAGCUUAAUGGGUUAAAGGUUUGUGAAAUCUGCGAUGCCAACAAUUCAAGAAAAGCUAAUAACUUGCAAACCAGACGCCAGAAUAUAUUUAUAACAAGAAACCCAUGUAAUGAAAUCUUAGUGAAUUACAUAUUAGUGAAAUUUUGAAAAACAAUAAAAGUGACAUCAUUAGUUGCCGAAUAUAUGCUUAUUAUUAAAGUGUGACUCGAUAAUAUUGUUGGCUGAACCAUUGCUACAAACCAUUGCUUUUAAAUCGAGUGAUUGUAGCCAUUUGUUGGCAUUGUAAGAAAGAUACUGCAUCUGUUUUAUUUUGUAUUAUUAAUUUUGUAUCACAAUGAAUGUUUGUGAUGAAUGUUUAUGACAAUUAGCCAUUUCGAAGUUGAUGAGUGGACUGG
Molecule: non-coding RNA, 407 nt
Organism: Paramuricea clavata
Lineage: Eukaryota; Metazoa; Cnidaria; Anthozoa; Malacalcyonacea; Plexauridae
Source: the annotation of a GenBank genome assembly